RNAcentral lists this ribosomal RNA (450 nucleotides) under uncultured bacterium. Its description in RNAcentral is "bacterial SSU rRNA". It matches the Rfam family "Bacterial small subunit ribosomal RNA", at positions 354 to 796 of the family's 1533-position model. The record is from RNAcentral.
GUGGGGAAUAUUGGACAAUGGGCGAAAGCCUGAUCCAGCCAUGCCGCGUGUGUGAAGAAGGUCUUCGGAUUGUAAAGCACUUUAAGUUGGGAGGAAGGGCAGUAAGUUAAUACCUUGCUGUUUUGACGUUACCGACAGAAUAAUCACCGGCUAACUUCGUGCCAGCAGCCGCGGUAAUACGAAGGGUGCAAGCGUUAAUCGGAAUUACUGGGCGUAAAGCGCGCGUAGGUGGUUUUGUAAGUUGGAGGUGAAAUCCCCGGGCUCAACCUGGGAACUGCCUACAAAACUGCAUGACUAGAGUACGGUAGAGGGUAGUGGAAUUUCCUGUGUAGCGGUGAAAUGCGUAGAUAUAGGAAGGAACACCAGUGGCGAAGGCGACUACCUGGACUGAUGCUGACACUGAGGUGCGAAAGCGUGGGGAGCAAACAGGAUUAGAAACCCGGGUAGUCC